RNAcentral lists this ribosomal RNA (406 nucleotides) under uncultured bacterium. Its description in RNAcentral is "partial 16S ribosomal RNA". It matches the Rfam family "Bacterial small subunit ribosomal RNA", at positions 29 to 526 of the family's 1533-position model. The record is from RNAcentral.
AUUGAACGCUGGCGGCAGGCCUAACACAUGCAAGUCGAACGAGUGGCGGACGUGUGAGUAAUGUCUGGGACACUGCCCGAUGGAGGGGGAUAACUACUGGAAACGGUAGCUAAUACCGCAUACCAUCGGAUGUGCCCACAUGGGAUUGGCUAGUAGGUGGGGUAACGGCUCACCGAGGCGACGAGCCCUAGCUGGUCUGAGAGGAUGACCGGCCACACGGGAACUGAGACACGGUCCAGAGGCCUAGGGGAGGCAGCAGUGGGGAAUAUUGGACAAUGGGCGCAAGCCUGAUGCAGCCAUGCCGCGUGUAUGAAGAAGGCAUUCGGGUUGUAAAGUACUUUCAGCGAGGAGGCGUUACUCGCAGAAGAAGCACCGGCUAACUCCGUGCCAGCAGCCGCGGUAAUAC